AACUUUCGACAAUGGAUCACUUGGCUCUCGCAUCGAUGAAGAACGCAGCGAAUUGCGGUAAGUAAUGUGAAUUGCAGAAUUCAGUGAAUCAUCGAAUCUUUGAACGCACCUUGCGCUCUUUGGUAUUCCGAAGAGCAUGCCUGUUUGAGUGUCAUGAAAAUUACAACCUUGACUUGGGUUUAGUGAUAUUGUCUUGGCUUGGAUUUGGCUGUUUGCCGCUCGAAAGAGUCGGCUCAGCUUAAAAGUAUUAGCUGGAUCUGUCUUUGAGACUUGGUUUGACUUGGCGUAAUAAGUUAUUUCGCUGAGGACAAUCUUCGGAUUGGCCGAGUUUCUGGGACGUUUGUCCGCUUUCUAAUACAAGUUCUAGCUUGCUAGACAUGACUUUUUUAUUAUCUGGCCUCAAAUCAGGUAGGACUACCCGCUGAACUUAAGCAUAUCAAUAAGCGGAGGAU
Molecule: unclassified non-coding RNA, 452 nt
Filed under: uncultured Cryptococcus
Lineage: Eukaryota; Fungi; Basidiomycota; Tremellomycetes
Description: sequence contains ITS2
Rfam family: 5.8S ribosomal RNA (bases 1-154)
Source: RNAcentral